This 67-nucleotide transfer RNA is filed under the name pig gut metagenome. It matches the Rfam family "tRNA". From Rfam's summary of the family: Transfer RNA (tRNA) molecules are approximately 80 nucleotides in length. Their secondary structure includes four short double-helical elements and three loops (D, anti-codon, and T loops). The record is from RNAcentral.
UGGUGUAGCUCAACUGGCAGAGCAGCUGAUUUGUAAUCAGCAGGUUGUGGGUUCGAUUCCUAUCACC